This 478-nucleotide ribosomal RNA is filed under the name uncultured bacterium. Its description in RNAcentral is "partial 16S ribosomal RNA". It matches the Rfam family "Bacterial small subunit ribosomal RNA", at positions 28 to 507 of the family's 1533-position model. The record is from RNAcentral.
GAUGAACGCUGGCGGCGUGCCUAACACAUGCAAGUCGAACGGAGUCCAGCCUUUAAGACCUUCGGGUCAAAGAGGGGAAGACUGAGUGGCGGACGGGUGAGUAACACGUGGGCAACCUGGCUCAUAGAGGGGGAUAACAGAGAGAAAUUUCUGCUAAUACCGCAUAAGCACACACUGCCGCAUGGCAGAGGGUGAAAAGAGAAUCGCUAUGAGAUGGACCCGCGUCUGAUUAGCCAGUUGGCAGGGUAAGAGCCUACCAAAGCGACGAUCAGUAGCCGAUCUGGGAGGAUGAACGGCCAAAAUGGGACUGAGACACGGCCCAAAAUCCUACGGGAGGCAACAGUGGGGGAUAUUGCACAAUGGGGGGAACCCUGAUGCAGCGACGCCGCGUGAGUGAAGAAGUAUUUCGGUAUGUAAAGCUCUAUCAGCAGGGAAGAUAAUGACAGUACCUGAAUAAGAAGCCCCGGCUAACUACGUG